GAUGAACGCUGGCGGCGUGCCUAAUACAUGCAAGUCGAGCGAACAGACGAGGAGCUUGCUCCUCUGACGUUAGCGGCGGACGGGUGAGUAACACGUGGAUAACCUACCUAUAAGACUGGGAUAACUUCGGGAAACCGGAGCUAAUACCGGAUAAUAUAUUGAACCGCAUGGUUCAAUAGUGAAAGACGGUUUUGCUGUCACUUAUAGAUGGAUCCGCGCCGCAUUAGCUAGUUGGUAAGGUAACGGCUUACCAAGGCAACGAUGCGUAGCCGACCUGAGAGGGGGAGGGGCAAACAGGAAGAUGAAACCCGGAAAAGCACCCUAGGAGGGCGCAAGGAGGGGAAUCUCGAGAAUGGGGGAGAACGCUAACGGAGAAACGCCGCGAGAGUAAAGAAGGUUUAAGGAACAAAAACCACUUUUAGUGGGGAAGAAAAAUGGAAGAGAAAACUAGGCACGUCGUGACGGUACCGAAUAAAAAAGCCGGGGCUAACUACGUG
This 497-nucleotide ribosomal RNA is filed under the name uncultured bacterium. RNAcentral's name for it is "partial 16S ribosomal RNA". It matches the Rfam family "Bacterial small subunit ribosomal RNA", at positions 28 to 507 of the family's 1533-position model. The record is from RNAcentral.